Molecule: unclassified non-coding RNA, 327 nt
Filed under: soil metagenome
Description: partial contains 5.8S ribosomal RNA, internal transcribed spacer 2, and large subunit ribosomal RNA
Rfam family: 5.8S ribosomal RNA (bases 1-120)
Source: RNAcentral
GAUGAAGAACGUAGCGAAAUGCGAUAAGUAAUGUGAAUUGCAGAAUUCAGUGAAUCAUCGAAUCUUUGAACGCACAUUGCGCCCCUUGGUAUUCCGAGGGGCAUGCCUGUUCGAGCGUCAUUAUAACCCUCAAGCUCAGCUUGGUGUUGGGGCCUGCUGCACUGGCAGCCCUUAAAAUCAGUGGCGGCGCCAUCUGGCUCUAAGCGUAGUAAUUCUUCUCGCUAUGGAGUCCUGGUGGAUGCUUGCCAUCAACCCCCAAUUUUUCUAUGGUUGACCUCGGAUCAGGUAGGAAUACCCGCUGAACUUAAGCAUAUCAAUAAGCGGAGG